This 72-nucleotide transfer RNA is filed under the name Patescibacteria group bacterium. Its description in RNAcentral is "tRNA-Val". It matches the Rfam family "tRNA". From Rfam's summary of the family: Transfer RNA (tRNA) molecules are approximately 80 nucleotides in length. Their secondary structure includes four short double-helical elements and three loops (D, anti-codon, and T loops). The record is from RNAcentral. RNAcentral also lists the same sequence under 1 other name.
GGGCGCAUGGCUCAAUGGUAGAGCGUCGCGUUCACAUCGCGAAGAUCUCUGGUUCGAUCCCAGAUGCGCCCA